Ictidomys tridecemlineatus (thirteen-lined ground squirrel) is the source of this 71-nucleotide non-coding RNA. Lineage: Eukaryota; Metazoa; Chordata; Mammalia; Rodentia; Sciuridae. The record is from Rfam.
GUGGUUGUGGCUCAGUAGUAGAGCACCUGCCUAGCGUGUGUAAGGCACUGAGUUCGAUUCUCAGCACCACA